GAUUCCGUGGUGUAGUUGGUUAUCACGUGAGUCUAACACACUCAAGGUCCCCGGUUCAAUCCCGGGUGGAAUCA
Halichondria panicea is the source of this 74-nucleotide non-coding RNA. Lineage: Eukaryota; Metazoa; Porifera; Demospongiae; Suberitida; Halichondriidae. The record is from the annotation of a RefSeq genome assembly.